Non-coding RNA from Thermacetogenium phaeum DSM 12270, 139 nucleotides. Lineage: Bacteria; Bacillati; Bacillota; Clostridia; Thermoanaerobacterales; Thermoanaerobacteraceae. The record is from Rfam.
UAGUGGGCUGAAAAGUGCCCACCGCGGUAAUUUCCCGUUCGCCGCGAAGUCUGAGGCAGGCGGGCAGGGGUAACCCGAAACGCCAAGCUGCCUGACAAAGGUCCGCAAGGAUCGAGACGGAAGGCGGGCCGUAACGCAA